Molecule: long non-coding RNA, 694 nt
Filed under: Rattus norvegicus (Norway rat)
Lineage: Eukaryota; Metazoa; Chordata; Mammalia; Rodentia; Muridae
Description: long non-coding RNA NONRATT005927
Source: RNAcentral
UCGCAUUUGCAUGCUCUGAGAGGAUUUUGCUUUCUAACAAGGCUUUUCCUGAUUGAUCAAGAGUGCAGAGAGAGCCAGUGAACGUUCUGUCCUGCCAGCCUGCACUGUAGGCGCAGUGACAGGGUAACGUAGGCCAGUGGAGCCUGGCUUUAGCUUUGCACUGCCUCUGGCAUUCACUCCCCUGAGAAUCUGAUAACUGGUUAACAGGUUGCUGUAAGGACCAAUGGACAGUGUAUGUAAAAGGAACAGGACAGGUUCUCAGCAGUUCCCCACCUUGAGUCUACAGGACCUGGUGGAGAACAAGUAAGGAGUUUGGACAAAUUGUUCAAUUUCAGUGAAACUGUUCCAGUGAAGUACAGCUAGCUUUCCUCUAACACCAGACUUAAGUUUCCUUCAGUUUGGUCUCUCUAAUCUAGAACCUCAAUAGAAGCUGCAAGACAAGUCAUGGUGGGGUGGAAAGGAAUGAGGAAGAGGUUUGAAUCACUGAAGUGGUAAUUUGUUUCACAGCUAUAUUAAGGCUAGCCACAAGACGCUGCAUCUUGGCCCAGCUGGGAAUCUGAAUCUAUGCAAGUCAUUUUAUGUGCUUGCUGCUGUCCCUGUUACUCAGUUUAUCCUCACUGGAUAAAAGGCUUCCUCCAAAACAUGAAAUGUGAAGGCACUUCCAAAAAUAAAUCCUGGGGGAACAAAAAAAAAA